This 626-nucleotide long non-coding RNA is filed under the name Helianthus annuus (common sunflower). RNAcentral's name for it is "sRNA HanXRQr2_Chr13g0576711". Lineage: Eukaryota; Viridiplantae; Streptophyta; Magnoliopsida; Asterales; Asteraceae. The record is from RNAcentral.
GGGUUAAUUGAGAAAUUAACAAAACAAAAACACAAACACGGUUGUGUUCGUGCGAACCAGGGGAGGAAGAAAGGGGAGCCAAAAACCCUAACUGCUAGAUAUCAAGAAAUUGAAGCCUAAAUCACAAGAAAAUUCGAUGCAUGGGUCCUCUUUUUCGAAAAUCUAACCCUAACUAAUGAAGUGGAACGUGUCAAGGAGAGCUCAAGCAUAGGAGGAUAACGGGUCAAGAUAAGGCAAGGUGACAAAUACACUUAUUGGAAUACUCAAGGUUAUGAAUGUCGGACUUUCGAAGUGUUGAUAUAAUAAUGAAACGGUUGAAUGUUGAAAGGAUAAUCGGAUUGAAGUAACUUAUGCGGUAAUUCCUCAAUUUUGGCGACUUGGAGAAUCGGAGCGAGCGCGUGUUCGUGUUAUGCGAUACCAAACGCUUCCGCUAGCUUGUUCAAAUGUUUUUGAUCCAAAAUUUGUUGUAUUGGUAUUUAGUAGUAUCUUGUUGAACGAAUUGUAGAAUUGUAUCUAGUUUGUUUAUGUUUUAAACAGGGGUAUGCUCGUUUUAUGGACGGGUCAUGCCCGAUUUUUUUGUUAAAUUAUAGUUUGAUAAUAUCACAUUUAGGAAGGUGAAAUUUUGG